This 855-nucleotide long non-coding RNA is filed under the name Monodelphis domestica (gray short-tailed opossum). Its description in RNAcentral is "lncRNA (ENSMODG00000050023.1)". Lineage: Eukaryota; Metazoa; Chordata; Mammalia; Didelphimorphia; Didelphidae. The record is from RNAcentral.
CAAUUUCCAAGAAUGCAUUCUGCAGACACUAACUUCUUUUAAAAAUACUCGUCCAUUCAGACUUUUUUGCUCACUUAAACUGACCUCUUUCUUCAAUUAUUCUGAAUCAAUGAAGUCUGACAUAGAAUAUUAUUGCCUGACUUCCUUAUUAGAUUCCUGGAAUCUCAGCCCAAGCAAGAGAUAAUCAACAUUUUGGGCAAGGUUCCCUUCAACUCCAUUGGCAACUCUUCCUCCACAUAUGUGGCUUUGGUUGAUUUUAUCCAGCAAAACCAGUUUUUCAGCAAACGGCAAACAAAAACCACAGAGUAAUGAAUCAUAUAGCUGAGGCUCAUAUAGGAUGAAACUCAACCUGAUUAACAGAAAAAUUCCACUGAUGGCAAGAAGUUGUGUCUUGACUUGAAAACUAUUAUUAGCAAGGCAUGUGAUUCUAAUUGUAGCUCUCAAGAGUUCCUUUCAAGGAGUCGACUUUAUUUGUUUCCAGCUCGGAACCCACAAAGAUAGCUUUUCUUCUGAUAAGGGAAAUAACUAUGAGGCAUGUGGAGAAGUGGGAGAAUGAUAAGAGAAUGUUGGAGCCUUUAUUCAGAAGAGUUUGCAACUUUUUCUUGGGAUUUUCCAUAUUAAUCAUGCCCUUCAUAGAAGUGAGGAGUGAGAAGGAUGAGGAAACAAUUUUAUCCUUUCUCCUUGGGAUAAGCAGAAGUAGAGAUAUCUUCCUUGCCAGGCCAUAAUAAGAGGCGAAUGUCAGGAACCCGGAAGGACCAGAGAGAAGUUGGUGUCAGUAAUUGGCUCAUUGCUCCUUGAUCCAUUGUAAAGUCUGGAGGAUGUUUCAGAAAAUAAAGAAGGUAUCAUGGAAAGCCA